Molecule: ribosomal RNA, 254 nt
Filed under: uncultured bacterium
Lineage: Bacteria
Description: partial 16S ribosomal RNA
Rfam family: Bacterial small subunit ribosomal RNA
Source: RNAcentral
UACGAAGGGGGCUAACGUUGCUCGGAAUCACUGGGCGUAAAGGGUGCGUAGGCGGGUCUUUUAAGUCAGGGGUGAAAUCCUGGAGCUCAACUCCAGAACUGCCUUUGAUACUGAAGAUCUUGAGUUCGGGAGAGGUGAGUGGAACUGCGAGUGUAGAGGUGAAAUUCGUAGAUAUUCGCAAGAACACCAGUGGCGAAGGCGGCUCACUGGCCCGAUACUGACGCUGAGGCACGAAAGCGUGGGGAGCAAACAGG